GCAGCGCAAUGUGUCUAAUACAUGGCGAAAACACGCCGUGCCAAACGUCAGCUUGUCGAGCUGUUGGGAACACACACGGAUGUCAAGGACUUGGAAUAUGAGAAGAACGAACGGAGGAAAACUUGAAAUGGUCAAAGUGGAAAUGAAGCAUACUAAAUGGCAUGUUUUUGGAAGGCAUAUGAAGGCAUGGAGUGUUGAUGGUACUCAGAAAGGGCAUCACUAAAUACGUGUUCAGAAGACGACCAAGCGAACAUCAAGGUUAUAUAUAUAUUUAAGUAUGCCUUUAAACAGACUGCUUGAGGAAUGCAGGAGAUGAAAGAACAAAGACACACUACAGAGGGACUGGAAUACAGAAGCUGGAGAGAUGGAGAGAGCUGGAAUAAAGCUUAAAAUCCAGCGGAUUCUUUGAGAGAUCUGGAGGGGAUCAUACUCACAUCCAACUCUGGCUGAAAGACAAGAAAUCCCAGAAUUCAAACCCACCUUUGGGCUAAUAGGACAAGAGCAGGAUGGUAAGACUAUAAUUUGUUUCAGACCGCUGAACACAAAUGGGCCAGAAACAAAUCCUCAUGUUACAACAGCCACCGUCACCCUCUUUAUUAGGUUGACUCAGAAUGUCAAAAAAUGGUGGUCUAGCUUUCAGGCUCUUGAGGGUGCUUUGCAGUCAAGCAAGGUGAUAAAGAGGAGGAAAAGGAGGGGAAUAAAUUCAACUCUCUCAUGCAAAAAAUCCUUCAUAGUCCCCCCGUAGGCAGAAAAGGAACAGAUCUUUAUCUUGUCUGGUCUCCUCGGCCACCAAAUCUCUCAUCUCUCAAAUCUAAAACAUGAGAAACAUAAUCCCUGCAGUUGCCCAACACUGACCUAAGAAACCACAACAGGGGUUAGUUUUCUCCAUCACGGAUCACAGGAGAACAACACUGUGGUCUAAAUGUUGAGCACCGGCGUCAGCAUCUGACCACAUCUGACGAACAGUAGGAAAAAGGCAACCCCAGAAAAAAUGGGAAGGGGGAGAAAGCCAACCCCCCACCUCCCUGCAAUAUAUUUAAAAACCCGCGAACCUCAAGCGUCUCAUCCAUCCGAGUGUACGGUGCAUUCUGGCAGUUUUUGUGGCAACUCUCUCAGCAGGAAUGUAAACAGAGCUCUCUGCAAUGUCUGCGUUGUGUCCCCAGUUUGAGAUAAUUUUCUAAACAGGGCGGCUGCCAAGAGCACUAAGUGUGAAGCUAUCAGGGAGAGAGGAGAGAUGCUCGGAGCAGAGCGUCUGAUUCAACUCUUCUUGUGGUUGUUACUUAAAGAAUUUGCAGGUAACCGUACAUUCCCUUCUCGUUCUAAGCCAGGCCGCCUGGUCGGACAAGCAGGUACGUACCUUGGGCCAUCCCGAGCUUCCAUCUAACAAGCAAGUGUUGAUCUAUAUCGAGGUUGCAGUGAGAUCUUGUAUGAUAGCCUGGGUUGAUUCAAAGUUCGCAAAAUUUCACUAACUUGCCUGAGAGCUCCUGUGAAUGAUAUAAGAACGCUGAUAUUUUCUUGCUUUCUUAGCAUUUAGUGGUGUUCCCCCUCAUCUAAUUGGGCUGGAUGAUUUGGUUUAUUUUACGUGCACAGUGAAAUAAAGCCAACGAAACAACAUUGCCAACAAAAACAUUGACUGAAGACGAGUCAACUUCUCCCUACCCUGAGCAACCAGUCGUGUUGUCCUCGGCUCCAGAGGCUCCUAACACACACUGCCUUCACCGUCUCCCUACAUGAUUCGAAGAGUGGCUCUAACUUCAGGACUAUUUCAAACUGAGAAGGCCUACCUCCGCUCCUGCUCUUUAGAACAUCUCAUCCCACACAAAUCUGGAGGGUAGAAUGUCCUGCUCUUGAAGAGAUUGAAGCCCCAAUAUCUCCAUAUUGAUCGGUUGUAGCGAUCAGCAAGUGGGUGUAUUUUGCACAGAGAGUCACUUCUGCCCACCUAAAGCAAACUGUGGUGAACCAAACGGGAGCUGAGCAAGGCCUGAGUAAGCAUUGCCAGAGCUUUCUCAUCAAAGAAACAUCCCUACUGCUUACACCAGCUGAUCUCUUAUGAGUCUUAUCAAAGUCGGGCAAAAUAUGGAGAUUAUAUAACAUUUCAGCUGUUUUUUGGGGUUUGGGAAAAAAGAAAUCAUUCUGAGGGAUUCAGAGGCGAUUUUAGAGGAAGAUGGAUAUGGCAACCCCAGGCCCCAUGUUGCCAGUCUGUCCUUGGUGGUGGGUUAAAUGCAGUGCAAAUUCCUGCAAGCCACUAUAAUGUAGUAUUGUGAGAAAGAUGUUUGACUUUGCACUCAUGUUCAAGUUGCCAUUUGAUCGGGAAGCCAUAAAUUGAUGACUCUGAGCCAAUCUCUCUCUCAGCUGAACCAACUUUACAGGGUGGUUGUAGGGUAAAAGGAGAGAAGACCCCCAUGUGUACUGUUGUGUACUCUCAAGGGAAAAAGCAGGAUAUCAUUGUAAUAAUAUAAUUUUUGCAGAAGUACAAAAGUUUAUAAAAUAUCCCAAGGUUUUGCAAACACGGAUUUUCCAACUAGAAACAUUACUUUCAGUGUGUUGAUUUUCCUUUCUAUGCACAGAGGACUAUGAAAGCUGCAUUAAUAAAAUA
Python bivittatus (Burmese python) is the source of this 2596-nucleotide long non-coding RNA. RefSeq lists it as uncharacterized. NCBI's taxonomy places the organism in Eukaryota, Metazoa, Chordata, Lepidosauria, Squamata, Pythonidae. The record is from RefSeq and is a predicted model, not a curated record.